Ribosomal RNA from Microplitis mediator, 119 nucleotides. Lineage: Eukaryota; Metazoa; Arthropoda; Insecta; Hymenoptera; Braconidae. The record is from RefSeq and is a predicted model, not a curated record.
GUCAACUGCCAUAUCAUGCUGAAAGCACUGGUUCUCGUCUGAUCACCAAAGUUAAGCAGCAUUGAGCGUGGUUAGUACUUGGAUGGGUGACCGCUUGGGAACACCACGUGCUGUUGACA